Molecule: ribosomal RNA, 253 nt
Filed under: uncultured bacterium
Lineage: Bacteria
Description: partial 16S ribosomal RNA
Rfam family: Bacterial small subunit ribosomal RNA
Source: RNAcentral
UACAGAGGUCCCAAGCGUUGUUCGGAUUCACUGGGCGUAAAGGGUGCGUAGGUGGCGGGGCAAGUCUGGUGUGAAAUCCCGGGGCUCAACCCUGGAACUGCACUGGAUACUGCUUUGCUAGAGUACUGGAGAGGGAACUGGAAUUUACGGUGUAGCAGUGAAAUGCGUAGAUAUCGUAAGGAAGACCAGUGGCGAAGGCGAGUUCCUGGACAGUUACUGACACUGAGGCACGAAGGCCAGGGGAGCAAACGGG